RNAcentral lists this ribosomal RNA (369 nucleotides) under Triticum aestivum (bread wheat). RNAcentral describes it as "partial small subunit ribosomal RNA". The record is from RNAcentral. Lineage: Eukaryota; Viridiplantae; Streptophyta; Magnoliopsida; Poales; Poaceae.
AUGAGGUUUACCUUUGUGGUUGCGGGUUGGCCGGGCUGUGCACAUGAUACAAGGGUCUUGAAUCACGCAUUAGCACACUUCCCUUCAUUUCCUAUACCACCCAAAGGGAAAUACUAUCUUGUGGACUCUGGGUAUCCAAACCGAACAGGAUACCUUGCUCCUUUUAAGGGGAGUACAUACCAUCUGCCGAAAUUUCGUCUUCGCCGUCACCGUCCACCUGAAGGGAAGUAUGAGUUGUUCAACUUUUCACAUUCAUCCCUUCGAAAUGUCGUUGAGCGUGCUUUUGGGGUACUCAAGCAGAAAUGGCGCAUCUUGAAAGGUGUCCCAAGUUUCUCACCUCGUACACAGAAGCAUAUCAUCAUUGCUUGC